RNAcentral lists this ribosomal RNA (695 nucleotides) under uncultured bacterium. Its description in RNAcentral is "bacterial SSU rRNA". It matches the Rfam family "Bacterial small subunit ribosomal RNA", at positions 742 to 1435 of the family's 1533-position model. The record is from RNAcentral.
GACACUGAGGUGGGAAAGCGUGGGUAGCAAACAGGAAUUAGAUACCUGGUAGUCCACGCGUAAAACGAUGUCAACUAGCCGUUGGGUCCCUUUGAGGACUUAGUGGCGCAGCUAACGCAAUAAGUUGACCGCCUGGGGAGUACGGCCGCAAGGUUAAAACUCAAAUGAAUUGACGGGGGCCCGCACAAGCGGUGGAGCAUGUGGUUUAAUUCGAUGCAACGCGAAGAACCUUACCUACCCUUGACAUCCAGAGGACUUUCCAGAGAUGGAUUGGUGCCUUCGGGAACUCUGAGACAGGUGCUGCAUGGCUGUCGUCAGCUCGUGUUGUGAAAUGUUGGGUUAAGUCCCGUAACGAGCGCAACCCCUAUCCUUAUUUGCCAGCGAGUCAUGUCGGGAACUCUAAGGAGACUGCCGGUGACAAACCGGAGGAAGGUGGGGACGACGUCAAGUCAUCAUGGCCCUUACGGGUAGGGCUACACACGUGCUACAAUGGCAAGUACAAAGGGUUGCAAUACGGCGACGUGGAGCCAAUCCCAUAAAGCUUGCCUCAGUCCGGAUUGGAGUCUGCAACUCGACUCCAUGAAGUCGGAAUCGCUAGUAAUCGUGGAUCAGAAUGCCACGGUGAAUACGUUCCCGGGCCUUGUACACACCGCCCGUCACACCAUGGGAGUGGACUGCACCAGAAGUGGUUAGCC